RNAcentral lists this transfer RNA (74 nucleotides) under Acidobacteriota bacterium. Its description in RNAcentral is "Acidobacteria bacterium (groundwater metagenome) tRNA-His". It matches the Rfam family "tRNA". From Rfam's summary of the family: Transfer RNA (tRNA) molecules are approximately 80 nucleotides in length. Their secondary structure includes four short double-helical elements and three loops (D, anti-codon, and T loops). Further hydrogen bonds mediate the characteristic L-shaped molecular structure. tRNAs have two regions of fundamental functional importance: the anti-codon, which is responsible for specific mRNA codon recognition, and the 3' end, to which the tRNAs corresponding amino acid is attached (by aminoacyl-tRNA synthetases). tRNAs cope with the degeneracy of the genetic code in two manners: having more than one tRNA (with a specific anti-codon) for a particular amino acid; and 'wobble' base-pairing, i.e. permitting non-standard base-pairing at the 3rd anti-codon position. Lineage: Bacteria; Pseudomonadati; Acidobacteriota. The record is from RNAcentral.
GUGACGUUAGCUCAGUGGCAGAGCACCGCGCUGUGAACGCGGAUGCAUCGGUUCGAUUCCGUUACGUCACACCA